RNAcentral lists this long non-coding RNA (267 nucleotides) under Brassica napus (rape). RNAcentral's name for it is "long non-coding RNA (BNAP_LNC005072)". Lineage: Eukaryota; Viridiplantae; Streptophyta; Magnoliopsida; Brassicales; Brassicaceae. The record is from RNAcentral.
GUAGAAUUUGAAGAAUUUAGUGGUUAGUUAGGGUAUAAAUAGAGUUUAAAGAUAGUAUAGUUAGGAUUAUUCAUAUCUUUUAAAAAAAUAAAUUAUACACUAAUAUUUUUUAUAUGAGACAGUUUUGUAAAUUACAAAUUAUAUAAUAAAAUGUUGAAGAUUUUGUAGAAUUUGAAGAAUUUAGGGGUUACUUAGGGUAUAGAUGGGGUUUAAAGAUAGUAUAAGUAGGAUUAUUCAUAUCUUCUUAAAAUUUAGGGGUUAUUUUUU